Molecule: ribosomal RNA, 253 nt
Filed under: uncultured bacterium
Lineage: Bacteria
Description: partial 16S ribosomal RNA
Rfam family: Bacterial small subunit ribosomal RNA
Source: RNAcentral
UACGUAGGGGGCUAGCGUUAUCCGGAAUUACUGGGCGUAAAGGGUGCGUAGGUGGUUUCUUAAGUCAGAGGUGAAAGGCUACGGCUCAACCGUAGUAAGCCUUUGAAACUGAGAAACUUGAGUGCAGGAGAGGAGAGUAGAAUUCCUAGUGUAGCGGUGAAAUGCGUAGAUAUUAGGAGGAAUACCAGGUUGCGAAGGCGGCUCUCUGGACUGUAACUGACACUGAGGCACGAAAGCGUGGGGAGCAAACAGG